UUCGGGGGACAGGGUGACAGGUGGUGCAUGGUUGUCGUCAGCUCGUGUCGUGAGAUGUUGGGUUAAGUCCCGCAACGAGCGCAACCCUCGACCUUAGUUGCCAUCAUUCAGUUGGGCACUCUAGCGAGACUGCCGGUAAUAAACCGGAGGAAGGUGGGAUGACGUCAAAUCAUCAUGCCCCUUAUGACCUGGGCUACACACGUGCUACAAUGGUUGGUACAACGAGUUGCGAGUCGGUGACGGCGAGCUAAUCUCUUAAAGCCAAUCUCAGUUCGGAUUGUAGGCUGCAACUCGCCUACAUGAAGUCGGAAUCGCUAGUAAUCGCGGAUCAGCACGCCGCGGUGAAUACGUUCCCGGGCCUU
RNAcentral lists this ribosomal RNA (362 nucleotides) under uncultured Streptococcus sp. RNAcentral describes it as "bacterial SSU rRNA". It matches the Rfam family "Bacterial small subunit ribosomal RNA", at positions 1018 to 1382 of the family's 1533-position model. Lineage: Bacteria; Bacillati; Bacillota; Bacilli; Lactobacillales; Streptococcaceae. The record is from RNAcentral.